Molecule: ribosomal RNA, 448 nt
Filed under: uncultured bacterium
Lineage: Bacteria
Description: bacterial SSU rRNA
Rfam family: Bacterial small subunit ribosomal RNA
Source: RNAcentral
CGUUCUGGCUUUGCCAGGACAAGUACAGUGGCGGACGGGUGCGUAUCGCGUAGAUAACCUGCCCUCAGGCGCGGGACAAUCACGGGAAACCGUGGCUAAUACCGCACGUCGUCUGGACCCCGCAUGGGGACCAGAUGAAAGCCUUCGGGCGCCUUUGGAUGGGUCUGCGUUGGAUUAGCUUGUUGGUGAGGUAACGGCUCACCAAGGCAACGAUCCAUAGCUGGUCUGAGAGGACGAUCAGCCACACUGGGACUGAGACACGGCCCAGACUCCUACGGGAGGCAGCAGUGGGGAAUCUUGCACAAUGGGGUCACCCCUGAUGCAGCCAUGCCGCGUGGAGGAAGACACCCCUAUGGGGCGUAAACUCCUUUUCUGAAUGAAGAAACCCCUGUAGCUUCAGGGCGCGACGGUAGUUCAGGAAUAAGCACCGGCUAACUCCGUGCCAGCA